AAAAACUCAGACACCCU
This 17-nucleotide microRNA is filed under the name Corchorus capsularis. RNAcentral describes it as "sRNA CCACVL1_29839". Lineage: Eukaryota; Viridiplantae; Streptophyta; Magnoliopsida; Malvales; Malvaceae. The record is from RNAcentral.